This 497-nucleotide ribosomal RNA is filed under the name uncultured bacterium. RNAcentral describes it as "partial 16S ribosomal RNA". It matches the Rfam family "Bacterial small subunit ribosomal RNA", at positions 28 to 507 of the family's 1533-position model. The record is from RNAcentral.
GAUGAACGCUGGCGGCGUGCCUAAUACAUGCAAGUCGAGCGAACAGACGAGGAGUUUGCUCCUCUGACGUUAGCGGCGGACGGGUUAGUAACACGUGGAUAACCUACCUAUAAGACUGGGAUAACUUCGGGAAACCGGAGCUAAUACCGGAUAAUAUUUUGAACCGCAUGGUUCCAUAGCGAAAGACGGUUUUGCUGUCAUUUAUAGAUGGAUCCGCGCCGCAUUAGCUAGUUGGUAAGGUAACGGCUUACCAAGGCAACGAUGGGUAGCCGACCUGACAGGGUGAUCGGCCACACUGGAACUGAGACGCGGUCCAGACUCCUACGGGAGGCAGCAGUAGGGAAUCUUCCGCAAUGGGCGAAAGCCUGACGGAGCAACGCCGCGUGAAUGAUGAAGGUCUUCGGAUCGUAAAACUCUGUUAUUAGGGAAGAACAAAUGUGUAAGUAACUAUGCACAUCUUGACGGUACCUAAUCAGAAAGCCACGGCUAACUACGUG